AAUAGAUACCCGGGUAGUCCACGCCGUAAACGAUGAGUGCUAAGUGUUAGAGGGUUUCCGCCCUUUAGUGCUGCAGCAAACGCAUUAAGCACUCCGCCUGGGGAGUACGGCCGCAAGGCUGAAACUCAAAGGAAUUGACGGGGGCCCGCACAAGCGGUGGAGCAUGUGGUUUAAUUCGAAGCAACGCGAAGAACCUUACCAGGUCUUGACAUCUCCUGACAACCCUAGAGAUAGGGCGUUCCCCUUCGGGGGACAGGAUGACAGGUGGUGCAUGGUUGUCGUCAGCUCGUGUCGUGAGAUGUUGGGUUAAGUCCCGCAACGAGCGCAACCCUUGAUCUUAGUUGCCAGCAUUCAGUUGGGCACUCUAAGGUGACUGCCGGUGACAAACCGGAGGAAGGUGGGGAUGGACGUCAAAUCAUCAUGCCCCUUAUGACCUGGGCUACACACGUGCUACAAUGGAUGGUACAAAGGGCUGCGAGACCGCGAGGUUAAGCGAAUCCCAUAAAACCAUUCUCAGUUCGGAUUGCAGG
This 530-nucleotide ribosomal RNA is filed under the name uncultured bacterium. RNAcentral describes it as "bacterial SSU rRNA". It matches the Rfam family "Bacterial small subunit ribosomal RNA", at positions 777 to 1304 of the family's 1533-position model. The record is from RNAcentral.